Molecule: long non-coding RNA, 2672 nt
Organism: Xiphophorus couchianus (Monterrey platyfish)
Lineage: Eukaryota; Metazoa; Chordata; Actinopteri; Cyprinodontiformes; Poeciliidae
Exons: 2
Source: RefSeq, a predicted model, not a curated record
AUUUUGCACAUUAUUAACUCCUGUUUGCAAACCCGGUCCGAGUGGUUUCCUUGUGGAAAUCACGAUCACUUUAUAUUGGAAAAUAUGCGGGUGGGCUUGCGCGUGCGUGCGUGCGUGCAGCCCACCGUGCAAACAAGGCUCGCGCUCGCUCUCAAACGCCGCACGCUCGAAAUUCCUCCAAGGAACCUCUGCGAGCUUUUCUUUUUUCAUCACGCGCGAGCUAAAAAUAGAAACGGGGUUGGAUCGUGAUCCAGAAAUAGAUAGGGGGCAUCACUCCUAUAAAAGGCAUACCAUUCAAGAGUACAGUGAGAGAAGAGAAAAGCCGGAGCAGAUUUAAUGGACAAAUAUGGUUUUUAGUCCAUUUUUUAAAAGCUUAUUUCCGUGCUUUUAUCAGAAUCUCUGCAGCUACAACGGCUCCCCACUUCACACGCAAAUACAGCACACAACACCUGGAGACAGCAACAGUGACCAAACAACAUCUAGGUCAGCAAGUGGACUCUACACUGAGUGGGAAAUCCUGUAAAAAAUGUAAACAAAAAUUUGCAUCAUAUUCUGUUUUUACUUUUGUGAAAUGUUCAAGAAUGUCUGCCUUUUCAUUUUUAAACUGAACCUCAACUGAGUCUAUUAAGACAUCAAGAGUUUGUUUUCCUAUCUAGCUAUUAAUGAUGUAAAUACUAAAAAUUCCACUAGAAAGCAAAUUAAUUUGUCUCAUCUUAUUUUUGCAACGUGUGAUUAAGUGUUCUAUUUAUGCGCUGUAUUAGUGGUUGGUUUCUGAAUAUUCAGGCAAAUGAUUUAACCUUUUGUGUUCUUUUUAUUUUUUACCUUUCACACAUUACCGCAUCUUUUAUUAAACUCUCCAUACAUAACAUUUUUUAUAAGUAACCUGUACAAACCUUAAAUGUGGUUUAAGGUUUAGCACUGAACAAUUUAUACAACAUCUGAAUGUUGUAUAAAUCUGAAUGUUUUCUUUAUUUCUCUAACAAAUUGAGCACAUGAUUUUUUCAUAAUAUGUCGCUGACGUAAGUGACUGAACAGUUCAUUAAUCUUAAAGCUGCUUUAAAUAGCUAUGAGGCUGAUAUUUUACCCAUGUCGAGGAGCAUGGGCAGUAAACUCCCCUCACUUGUUUCUAGAAAUGGUCAAAUUUAUCCAAUUCCUCACAAACUAAGGAGCGUCAUGUUUUGUGAUUCAUCUCUUUCUUUACAAUUUUUCAUCUCAUACACGUCAGUGUCUGCACAUCGAUCACAAUCCCUUGAAAAAGCAGGGGAAUUAAAGUAUGUUCUUAUCAUGUGACAAUUAAAUGGAUUUAAAACUUGUGUCUCUUGAAAUAAACAAUGUUUAGAAGCUGAAAAUGGUUUUUCAUUCUUAUUGUUUUUUUUGCAGGGUUAAAAUGUAUUUUCAUUAUGCUCCUUUUUUCAUGAGAAAAUCCAUCAGAACGUGUUUUAACUCUUCAUAAAUAAAAACAAGAACUAUGAAUCAACAUUAACUGUGAUGACUGUGAUAAUCUUUGACACUAUCCAGUCUUUUUGCUUCUCUUUUAUUAUUUAAUUCUUUAUUUCUGUACACAGUAUGAGCUUGGAUUUUAAUUAGAAGCAGUUUGACGGUGCUAGGAGUGUACAAGUAUCUGGAUGGGAGACAUUCUGAUCAUCAUAGUUAUUUACAAGCAUCAGUCUAAAUUGAUUGAAACCAUGCAUGCAUGUGUCCAAUUGGUCUCUCUAAACUGCCCUCAGGAGUGAAUGUGCGUCGUGCAUGUCUAUGACAGACUGACAAUCUGACCAGGGUGUGACCUACCUCUCGCCCAUUAACCACUAGAGAUAGGCCACCCUUACCCCAGCGACCCUGCAAGAAUAAGCAGGGGUAUACAAUGGAUGGAUGGGUAAAUGGGUAGAUGGCUGGAUGAAUGUGUUCUAGGUGGAAAGACAUUCUGCUGCACAGUUAAUGGGAUUGCUGUGUUAAGCUCUCGCAAAGAUGUGACAUGGUACUAAUGUCACCAAAGACCAGCAUGUAUCAAACACUGAAUUGAAAAAACAAAAUAUAUCUCACUAUUUUGGGCUCAGUAGAAAGCAGUUGUAGUAUGAAUCUUAUUUUUUUUUCUCCAAUAAGGUUGGUGACAUAAAACUGAUACAUCAGUAGUUAUGUGAAUGCCCAUCUUUGUUUUAAAAUCUACAUGUAUGGUAAAUGUAUUUACCCCUGUGUUUUCAAUCAAAAAGUGAAAACACCCUUAUUUGUGUUUUCAUAUCUCGCUCUGCUUUUUUUUUUUUUUUUUUACUUAUUCUUUUUGCUGUUAUUAUUAUGGUUAUUAUUUAAGUGUGUGCAGUUGUGUAUAGAUUGCAUUAUUAUUCAAAUAAAAAAUAUAUAUUUUUAAACUUUUGUAUUAUUGGUGAGCUCACUUUCUCAACUCUACUGAUGCAUAAAUGCAAAAGUAAUAUAGAUUAAACACUGCUAACAUGUAAUCACUGUUGAUGUGAAUUCUGAUUAAUAAUAAAAAAAAACCAGAAGGAGAUCCAGAUCAACACAAACAUUUUACACAAAUUUAGGAGAUAUAAUAUCCACAUUUGCUUUUGUGGUUACUACUGUGAAGAUGUAAAUGAAAGUUAGUGGAUAUUAUGUUUAUUUUAUUGAUUUUGUUCUAAGUUGAGUUGAAUUUAUGCAAUGAAGAGUAUAUAAAAACAUGA